AAAUUGAAGAGUUUGAUCAUGGCUCAGAUUGAACGCUGGCGGCAGGCCUAACACAUGCAAGUCGAACGGUAACAGGAAGCAGCUUGCUGCUUCGCUGACGAGUGGCGGACGGGUGAGUAAUGUCUGGGAAACUGCCUGAUGGAGGGGGAUAACUACUGGAAACGGUGGCUAAUACCGCAUAACGUCGCAAGACCAAAGAGGGGGACCUUCGGGCCUCUUGCCAUCAGAUGUGCCCAGAUGGGAUUAGCUUGUUGG
RNAcentral lists this ribosomal RNA (255 nucleotides) under Salmonella enterica subsp. enterica serovar Infantis. RNAcentral describes it as "partial 16S ribosomal RNA". It matches the Rfam family "Bacterial small subunit ribosomal RNA", at positions 1 to 252 of the family's 1533-position model. Lineage: Bacteria; Pseudomonadati; Pseudomonadota; Gammaproteobacteria; Enterobacterales; Enterobacteriaceae. RNAcentral also lists the same sequence under 8 other names. The record is from RNAcentral.